GGGGGGGGGGGGGGGGGGGCGGGGGGGGGGGGGGGGGGGGGGGGGGUUGGGGGGGGGUGGCGCGGGGGUGCGUAGCGCGUGGGAACCGGAGGUUGGGGUGGGAAUGACUCCCCGAAAGGGGUGGUACUACCGGAUAAUGUCUUCGGACCACAGAUGUAUCGCCUUUGGAUUGGCCCGCGUUGGAUUAGCUAGUUGGUAUGGUACAAUCAUAGGCAGGCGACGAUCCAUAGCUGGUCUGAGAGGAUGAUCAGCCACACUGGUACUGAGACACGGCACAGAAUCCUACGGGAGGCAGCAGUGGGGAAUAUUGGACAAUGGGCGAAAGCCUGAUACAGCAAUGCCGCGUGAGUGAUGAAGGCCUUAGGGUUGGAAAGCUCUUUUACCCGGGAUGAUAAUGACAGUACCGGGAGAAUAAGCUCCGGCUAACUCCGUG
Molecule: ribosomal RNA, 433 nt
Filed under: uncultured bacterium
Lineage: Bacteria
Description: partial 16S ribosomal RNA
Rfam family: Bacterial small subunit ribosomal RNA (bases 46-433)
Source: RNAcentral